Molecule: ribosomal RNA, 433 nt
Filed under: uncultured bacterium
Lineage: Bacteria
Description: partial 16S ribosomal RNA
Rfam family: Bacterial small subunit ribosomal RNA
Source: RNAcentral
AGCGAACGCUGGCGGCAGGCCUAACACAUGCAAGUCGAACGGAUCCUUCGGGAUUAGUGGCGGACGUGUGAGUAACACGUGGGAACGUGCCCUUUGGUUCGGAACACCUCAGGUAAACUUGAGCUCAUACCGGAUGUGCUCUUCGGGGGUAAGAUUUAUCGCCAUUGGAGCGGCCCGCGUCUGUUUAGCUAGUUGGUGAGGUAACCGCCCACCAAGGCGAGGAUCAGUAGCUGGUCUGUUAGGAUGAUCAGCCACACUGGGACUGAGACACGGCCCAGACUCCUACGGGAGGGAGCAGUGGGGAAUCUUGCGCAAUGGGGGAAAGCCUGACGCAGCCAUGCCGCGUGAAUGAUGAAGGUCGUAGGAUUGUAAAAUUCUUUCAGCGGGGACGAUAAUGACGGUACCCGCAGAAGAAGCACCGGCUAACUUCGUG